RNAcentral lists this ribosomal RNA (440 nucleotides) under uncultured bacterium. RNAcentral's name for it is "partial 16S ribosomal RNA". It matches the Rfam family "Bacterial small subunit ribosomal RNA", at positions 338 to 795 of the family's 1533-position model. The record is from RNAcentral.
CCUACGGGUGGCUGCAGUUAGGAAUCUUGGACAAUGGGCGAAAGCCUGAUCCAGCCAUGCCGCGUGAGUGAUGAAGGCCUUAGGGUUGUAAAGCUCUUUCAGCGGGGAAGAUAAUGACGGUACCCGCAGAAGAAGCCCCGGCUAACUUCGUGCCAGCAGCCGCGGUAAUACGAAGGGGGCUAGCGUUGCUCGGAAUCACUGGGCGUAAAGCGCACGUAGGCGGAUUGCUAAGUCAGGGGUGAAAUCCUGGAGCUCAACUCCAGAACUGCCCUUGAUACUGACGAUCGUGAGUCCGGGAGAGGUGAGUGGAACUGCGAGUGUAGAGGUGAAAUUCGUAGAUAUUCGCAAGAACACCAGUGGCGAAGGCGGCUCACUGGCCCGGUACUGACGCUGAGGUGCGAAAGCGUGGGGAGCAAACAGGAUUAGAUACCCUAGUAGUC